UGUCGGUCUGCUUUUGAGACUACAUCGCCAAAAGAGAGAUAUGAUCCCAUCAGCGAAGAUGCACUGGUACUUGCAAGCAACGAGAAAGAUGAAAAGAACACUAGAAGGAAAGCCGCGGGAGAUAAGAAAGCGAAACCCGAUACAUCUUUGAGCACUGAUAAUAGCAGAGACAAUCCUGUGAUAUCUGAGUACAUUUUAUCGGAUGAGGUCAAUGUUACUACUAAGGAAGUAUUGCCUGCUUCGGUUUUCUCUGCACAGACAUCUUCCUCUCAAAUUCCUUCUGUCAUCGAAUCUUCUGCAGAGGGGCUACCUGGUCCAGUAUUUGUGACUGAGAGCAAGAUCCACUCGAAGCAUCAGGAAGAUGCAGAAGGGUUAUCUGGCCCAGUAUUCAAAAUUGACACGGAGUCCGAGGAAGAUGCAGACGGGUU
Molecule: ribosomal RNA, 428 nt
Filed under: Chaetoceros cf. neogracilis
Lineage: Eukaryota; Bacillariophyta; Thalassiosirophyceae; Chaetocerotales; Chaetocerotaceae
Description: partial Eukaryotic large subunit ribosomal RNA
Source: RNAcentral